This 225-nucleotide ribosomal RNA is filed under the name uncultured bacterium. RNAcentral describes it as "partial 16S ribosomal RNA". It matches the Rfam family "Bacterial small subunit ribosomal RNA", at positions 67 to 305 of the family's 1533-position model. The record is from RNAcentral.
CCAUUAGGGAUUUUAAUUCUAUUAGUUUAGUGGCGGACGGGUGAGUAACACGUGAGAAUUUACCUUUAGGAGGGGAAUAACAGUUGGAAACGAUUGCUAAUGCCGCAUAACAUUUUCGAAUGAAAGAAGUAAUUCGCCUAAAGAAAAGCUUGCGUCUGAUUAGCUAGUUGGUUAGGGUAAAGGCCUACCAAGGCGACGAUCAGUAGCUGGUUUGAGAGGAUGAUC